Molecule: long non-coding RNA, 1118 nt
Filed under: Homo sapiens (human)
Lineage: Eukaryota; Metazoa; Chordata; Mammalia; Primates; Hominidae
Description: HSALNT0378300
Source: RNAcentral
GGAGCCCAGCCUCUUGCGUUCCUGUGUGAUGGGGCCGGAGCCAGUAAACAGGCUUCCUUCUCGCUCUGCUGUAUAAGAAGAAGAAGUAGGAGAAACAAAAUAAGGAGGAGAAGAAGUAAAAUAAUUUGAGAAGGAAUAUGAAGAAACUGAAACUAGCCUGAGAAGGAAGAUACUGAGUCAGAUGGAGCCAUUUAUAUAUGGAGAUCCAGGAUUUAUAAGAUCCAUACCAUUGAAUUUGAAGUAAGGAUACGAUCAAGCUGAUAAUCCAAAGUGCACUAACUUCUAAGGACGGAAAUGUUUCUCUGGGGCUAUCAUUGCACCCUCGCUCUCUGGAAUUUCGGUAUCAUGAGAACACAUAAGUAAGAGCCAAAAUUCAUAGGGAUUCUGCCUGGAGAGGAACACAGGGAUUCUGAAAUAACCAUGACAUACAUAAGUACCUCCAAUUAUUUGCCUCUCAGACAAAGCCAGCAGCUGUUGAAAUAUGGUAAGAAAAAUGGUUCAGGGGUUUUCCCCCAUGACUCAAGACAAGCAUUUACAUUAUUUACACACUCAAUGUCUCUUCUGACUUAUGAUUGCCUUACAAUCUAUGGAAUAUAUUUAGUGUCCCUGUGGAAGCAAUUAUACAUGAAACAUCAACAUAUAUUUAUAUAGUAGACAGCACUUUCAUAGGUCCCUGCAGUGUAUUUUAACAGUAGUGGAAACUAAAGUUUUGGUGUAAUGUGUUUUUAUCUAUCAUUCAGAUCAAAGAAUACCCAGUACUUGAAAAGUUUAGAAAGCAGUUGAAAGUUACAUAGAGAUGUAGAAAGCAUUAAAGUGGUAGAAAUUAAUUAAAAGUCUUAGAAUAUAUGAGCUGUAAUUAGACUGGGUUUUAAUGUUUAGUUUGUUAAUAUUUAAAUAUAAACCUCACAAUGGAACUUGGCAAUUUAAGAGAUUUACAGAUAAUUUAUCCUUAAAAGUAUGAAGGAUGUCUGUUACUCAAAUAUCCAUCCCAUUAAAUUGAAAAGUUUUAAGUAUUGAUUCUUCUGUAAAUAAUAGAAGACUCCAUUAAAUUCCUUUACAGUUCUGUACAUCUAGACUAAAAUGAAACACCAAAAUAUGAAAUUAUCUCAAAAUGAAAA